CAAUAGCGUAUAUUAAAGUUGUUGCAGUUAAAAAGCUCGUAGUUGGAUUUCGGAUGGGACUUGCCGGUCCGUCGUUUCGAUGUGCACUGGCCAGUCCUAUCUUGUUGUCGGGGACUAGCUCCUGGGCUUCACUGUCCGGGACUAGGAGCUGACGAGGUUACUUUGAGUAAAUUAGAGUGUUCAAAGCAAGCCUACGCUCUGAAUACAUUAGCAUGGAAUAACACGAUAGGACUCUGGCUUAUCUUGUUGGUCUGUGAGACCAGAGUAAUGAUUAAGAGGGACAGUCGGGGGCAUUCGUAUUUCAUUGUCAGAGGUGAAAUUCUUGGAUUUAUGAAAGACGAACUUCUGCGAAAGCAUUUGCCAAGGAUGUUCUCAUUA
RNAcentral lists this ribosomal RNA (378 nucleotides) under uncultured eukaryote. RNAcentral's name for it is "partial 18S ribosomal RNA". It matches the Rfam family "Eukaryotic small subunit ribosomal RNA", at positions 592 to 975 of the family's 1831-position model. The record is from RNAcentral.